GAUGAAGAACGUAGCGAAAUGCGAUAAGUAAUGUGAAUUGCAGAAUUCAGUGAAUCAUCGAAUCUUUGAACGCACAUUGCGCCCGCCAGCCAUUCUGGCGGGCAUGCCUGUCCGAGCGUCAUUUCAACCAUCAAGCCCCGUGCUUGUGUUGGGGAGCUGCGGGCCCUCCGGGCGCGCAGGCCCUGAAAUGCAGUGGCGGGCUCGCUGACACACCGAGCGUAGUAGCAUAAUUCUCGCUCUGGGCGUGCUGCGGGUACCGGCCGUGAAACGACCACUCGAGAGAGAGGACACCCAAAGGUUGACCUCGGAUCAGGUAGGAAUACCCGCUGAACUUAAGCAUAUCAAUAAGCGGAGGA
Molecule: unclassified non-coding RNA, 356 nt
Filed under: soil metagenome
Description: partial contains 5.8S ribosomal RNA, internal transcribed spacer 2, and large subunit ribosomal RNA
Rfam family: 5.8S ribosomal RNA (bases 1-121)
Source: RNAcentral